AUGGCCAUACCAUGCUGAAUAUACCGGUUUCUCUUUAGAUCACCGAAGUCAACAUCAUUGGGCGCGGUCAGUACUUGGGUGGGUGACCACAUGGGAACACCGCGUGCCGUU
RNAcentral lists this ribosomal RNA (111 nucleotides) under Caerostris extrusa. The record is from RNAcentral. Lineage: Eukaryota; Metazoa; Arthropoda; Arachnida; Araneae; Araneidae.